AGUGCAUGGAGCGUGAUAGAAAGAAAAAGGCCUAUUUAACUCUGGGGGAAAAGACAGAAAAUAUCAACAAGAAAUCUCGCAAUGAUUAGAAGCAGAGUGGAAACCCCACAAGGUGGCAGUUAUGCAUUGCAGAGGACACCAGCGAGCUUCCACCUUGCUGGGUUUGGGGAAUUCCCGCGCUGACUCAGAGGCUCGAAAAGCAGCAUCUGCCCCCUUUCGGGCAUCAGUGCUCCCUCAAGCACCUGAUCUUGGACCUACUUCUUCUAAAGAAGAAAAGGACUUUCUCCAGGUAGAGGGAAGGACAAGUGAUGGAGGAAGGAUGGAUUCGGUUACCAGAUGGGAGAGUAGCUGCGCCACAGUUGCUAGGAGCUGUAGUUGGACAAGAAACCACCCAUCGAGGUCAGGAGUCACUGGAAAAGUUGUUAGGCCAGUGUUUCUACAUCUCACAUUUGUCAGCCCUUGCCAAAACGGUGAGGCAGCGGUGUGUUACCUGCCGACAGCAUGAUGCGAGGCAAGGUGCAGCCGUUCCGCCCGGCAUACAAGCUUAUGGAGCAGCCCCCUUUGAAGAUCUCCAGAUUUCGACUGCCCUUACGGAUCGGCUGAGAUAACGGACCUGCGUUUUUGGCGGCCUUGGUACAGAAGACGGCAAAGGGUGUCCAAGUCACAGCCACGGAAUCUCACAGAUGUCUGAGAAUUCCUCCUCAUGGGACUCUCAGAGGAUCCAGAACUGCAGCCCGUCCUCGCUGGGCUGUCCCUGUCCAUGUGUCUGGUCACGGUGCUGAGGAACCUGCUCAGCAUCCUGGCUGUCAGCUCUGACUCCCACCUCCACACCCCCAUGUACUUCUUCCUCUCCAACCUGUGCUGGGCUGACAUCGGUUUCACCUCGGCCACGGUUCCCAAGAUAAUUGUGGACAUGCAGUCGCAUAGCAGAGUCAUCUCUUAUGUGGGCUGCCUGACACGGAUGUCUUUUUUGGUCCUUUUUGCAUGUAUAGAAGACAUGCUUCUGACUGUGAUGGCCUAUGACUGCUUUGUAGCCAUCUGUCGCCCUCUACACUACCCAGUCAUCGUGAAUCCUCACCUCCGUGUCUUCUUAGUUUUGGUGUCCUUUUUCCUUAGCCUGUUGGAUUCCCAGCUGCACAGUUAGAUUGUGUUACAAUUCACCUUCUUCAAGAAUGUGGAAAUCUCUAAUUUUGUCUGUGAGCCAUCUCAACUUCUCAAGCUUGCCUGUUCUGACAGCAUCAUCAAUAGCAUAUUCAUAUAUUUCGAUAGUACUAUGUUUGGUUUUCUUCCCAUUUCAGGGAUCCUUUUGUCUUACUGUAAAAUUGUUCCCUCCAUUCUAAGGAUUUCAACAUCAGAUGGGAAAUAUAAAGCCUUCUCCACCUGUGGCUCUCACCUGGCACUUGUUUGCUUAUUUUAUGGAGCAGGCAUUGGCGUGUACCUGACUUCAGCUGUGUCACCACCCCCCAGGAAUGGUGUGGUGGUGUCAGUGAUGUACACUGUGGUCACCCCCAUGCUGAACCCUUUCAUCUACAGCCUGAGAAACAGGGACAUUCAAAGCACCCUGAGGAGGCUGCUCAGCAGAACAGUCGAAUCUCAUGAUCUGUUCCAUCCUUUUUCUUGUGUGGGUGAGAAAGGGCAACCACAUUAAAUCCCUACAUCUGCAAAUCCUGCCCCUUAGUCACAUUAUUUUUGUGGCUUGAUGGCUUUUAUUCCUUUCUGCAUUUCCUAUGUGAAUAUUGUUUUCUUCGUUAUACCUUUCACUGGAAUGGGUGAGGAUUCUGGGAUCCUUUGUUUAGCAGAAACCUCAUGACUGAAUCCUCUAUACCUAGGUGGCCUCCUUUAGUUUCUGAGCAAUAACCCUGUCAUCCAGGUGGAAUCACAACCAUCUUUUUAUAUACGUGAAGUCCUCACUUCAUUUUGGAAUUCCCUGAAAAUUGCCUUUAUGGAAACAAUGUACAGCAGGUCCUCCAACACCAUUGGUGCGUUCAAAGUUGUGUAGUUAUAAUGUUGGUGAGGAAUAAGUGGUUUCACUAUACCUAAUUUUGCUUCAAGGUGAAGUUUCCAAGAGACUUUCAAAGAUGUUAAGUGAGGACAUACUGUACAUCAAAUUCAUAUCCUCUUCCAGAGUUCAUGUGGAAUUUCUUUAUAAACUGCUUCUAGAGAAUCUAUUUAGGCAGGUUAUGUGUAGAGAUCCAUGUCACCCGUCCUCAAUCUUGGCUUUGAGUCAAAUCACCUGGGGAGCUUACAAAUGCUGAGGCCUGGGUGCCAUUACCUGAGAUUCUGAUUUCCCUGCACCUGUGUGAGUAUGUGGAUUUUUUUUUUUUUUUUUUUUAAGCACCAGAGGUGGUUGCAAUGACGAAGUUUUUAGAGGCAUCAAGCUCCAAUUAGUAAGAACAGAAGUUAAUUGUAAUAUGAUUUCUUCAAAUAUUAUCUUCAAAUGCAUUGUCCAUCAACACCAUACAAAUGUUUAUUAUGCUGUUGUUUCUUACCAUUUAGCAUUUUCUAUUUUUUUCUUUUUUCUUUUUUUUUUCUUUUUGAGACAGAGUUUCACUCUUGUUGCCCAGGCUGGAGUGCAAUGGCACGAUCUCGGCUCACUGCAACCUCUGCCUCCCGUAUUCAAGAGAUUAUCCUGUCUCAGCCUUCCAAGUAGCUGGGAUUACACGCAUACGCUACCAUGCCCGGCUAAUUUUUUUUUUUUUUUUUUUGUAUUUUUAGUACACAGAGUGGUUCUCCAUAUUGGUCAGGCUGGUCUUGAACUCCCGACCUCAGGUGAUCCGCCUGGUUCCACCUCCCAGUGUUCUGGGAUUACAGGCAUGAGCCACCGCGCCCAGCCACCACUUAGCAUUUUCAUUUUACAUUUGUUGAAAUUAUAGAUUUAUACACACUUUGAUUGCUGUUUUGUUAUACACUUGCAUAUACAUAAGAUGUGAAAUAGAAAAGAAUAAAAUGGGCACAGUAUCCCUGAAGUUUCACAUUCUGAGACAUUUUAAAAAUAUUUGCUCUUUAGAAAUUUGUUUCAAUUGAGAAACUGUGGUAUACACACCCAAUGAAGUAUUAUUCAGCCUAAAAAGGAAUAAACAAAAUCCUCUUCAUUGCAGACAAAAUGGAUGCGAUUGCAGGUCUGUAUAUUAAAUGAAAUAAGCCAGGCACAGAAUGACAAAUAUUUCAUAUCCUCACUUCUAUGUAGGAACAAAACAGAAAAUCUUGGCCAGGUUUGGUGGCUCAGGCCUGUAAUCCCAGCACCGUGGGAGGCCGAGUCACAUGGAUCACUUGAGGCCCAGAGUUCGAGACCCGCCUGGCCAACAUGGUGAAAUCCCGUCUCUACUGAAAACACAAACAAUUAGCCGGGUGUGGUGACACGUGCCUGUAGUCUCAGCUACUCGGAGGGCUGAGGCCCAAGAAGCGCUUGAACUCGGGAGGCGGAGGUUGCAGUGAGCCCGGAUUUUGCCUGUAUACUCCAACCUGGGCAACAGAAAGAGACUCCAUCACACACCUACACACAAAAGGAAUCUCAGGAAGGUGGAAAGUAUAAAGGUGGUUAGCAGACGCUAGGAAGAAAAGGGGUGGGAUGGGGAAUGAAGAGAAGUGGAUAAUUGGGUCCCAAAAUACAGAAAGAUGGAAUAAGUGAGUUCUAGUGUUUGAUAGUACAGUAUGAAAAUUUUAGUUCACAAGAAUUUCUGGCAUAUUUCCAGAUGCUUUGGUAAGAAGCUUCCUAACUUUCUCAUUAUGCUGGUUUUUCAGCUAUUCUCUUUCUGCUCUCGAAAUCAUGCUGGAUUUUUUGUUUUUGGUUUUUUGUUUUCAGACAGAGUUUCACUCUUGUUGCCCAGGCUGGAGUGUAAUGGUGCAAUCUUGGCUCACCGCAACCUCUGCCUCCUGGGUUCAAGCGAUUCUCCUGCCUCCAUCUCCCAAGCAGCUGGGAUUACAGGCAUGCCCCAGCAUGCCCAGCUAAUGUUGUGUUUGUAGUAGAGAUGGGGGUUUCUUCCUGUCUGUCAGGCUGGUCUUGAACUCCUGACCUCAGGUGAUCCGCCCGCCUCGGCCUCCCAAAGUGCUUGGAUUACAGGCGUGAGCAACGGCGCCCGGCCCAUGCUGCAUCCUUAUCUGUUGUCUGUUGUUUGUUUUUGAGCCCAGAAAUAACUUCUCACCUAUAUGUUCAAAUGAUUUUUCACAUGAGUGCUAAGAAAGUCCAUUGGUGGAAAAGCAGCCUUUUCAAGAAAUGGUGUUGGAGAAACUUGAUUUCCACAUGCAGAAGAAUGAAGGUGGACUCUAUGUCACACCAGGUGCAAAAAUGAACACAAACUGGAUCAAAGACCUAACCCCAACUGCUGAAAGUAUAAUAUGCCUAAAAGAAAACAUUGGCCACACUUUCAUGACAUCAGAUUGGGCAAUGCUUUCUGGGAUAUGACACCAAAAGCAUAGGCAACAAAAGAAAAUUAGAUCCCUUGGAUGACAUCUAAAUGACAGACACUUUUGUACAUCAGCAAACACUGUGAACUGAGUGAAAAGAUAACCCAUGGAUUAGGAAAAAGAUUUGCAAAUCAUAUCUCUGAAAAGAGGCUGAUAUGCAUCAUAUACAAAGAACAGCUAGAACUGAACAACAAGAAACCCAAAGCAUCCCAUUAACAAUGGUCAGAAGACUCGAGUAGACAUGUCCCUAAAGAAGAUACAGCAAUGGCCAAUAAGCAUCUAAAAUGAUGUUCAAAAUCACUCAUCAUAGGGAAGCGCAAAUCCAACCAAGAAUGUGAUACCACACAUUUGGAUGGAUGUGAUAAACAAACGAGCAUUGGUGAAACUAGAGGGAAGUAGGAAUGCUCGAAACUGAUUGGAGGGAAUGUAAAACCGUGAAGGAACAGGGAAAAUAGAAUGGCGUGUACUGGAAAAAGUAGAAACAGGAUUACCAGAUGUUCCCGCAGUUGCACUUGUGGGUACCCUCCAAAAAGAAUUAGAAGCCAGGAGUGGAAGAGAGAUUUGUACACCCAAAUUCAUAGCAGCAUUAUUCACAACAGCCAACAUGUGGAAGCAACCCAAGGGUUCGUGGACAGAUGAAUGAAAAAGCACACUGCAGUUCAUUCAUGCGAUGGAAGACUAUUCAGCCUUAAAAAGGCAGGCACUUCUGGCCGGUGCGGUGGCUCAUGCCUGUAAUCCCAGCAUCUUGGAAGACCGAGGUGGGCGGAUCACCUGAGGUCAGGAAUUCAAGACCAGCCUGGCCAUGGACUUGGUGAAAUCCUGUCUCUGCUGAAAAUGCAGAACAUUAGACGAGCGUGGUGGUGUGUGCCUAUAGUCCCAGCUACUGGUGAGGCUGAGGCACAAGAAUUGCUGGAACCUGGGAGGCGGAGGUUGCAGUGAGCCCAGAUUGUGUCACUGCACUCCAGCCUGUGCGACAGAGUGAGACUCCAUGUAAUCACAAAACAAAACAAAACCAAAAAAAAAAAAAAAAAAACACGCAAACAACCAGACAGGCACUUCUGACACAGGCUGUAACACGGGUGAACCUUGAAGACAUUCUCAUCAGUGAAAUAAAUAAAUCCCAAAAGGAUAAACACGACCAGGCUCAGUGGAUCGCACCUGUAACCCCAGCACUUUGGGAGGCUGAGGCAGGCGGAUCACUUAAGGUCAGGAGUUUGAGACCAGCCUGGCCAAUAUGGUGAAAGCUCGUCUCUAUUAAAAAUACAACGAUUAGCUGGGCGUGGUGGCGCACGCCUGUAAUCCCAGCUACUCGGGAGACUGAGACACAAGAAUCGCGUGAACCCACGAUGUGGAGGUUGCAGUCAGCUGAGACCAUGCCACUGCACUCCAGCCUGGGCGACAGAGAAAGACUCUGUCUCCAUAACAAACAAACCAAAAAAAUUAAACACGGUAUGAUUCCACUUAUAUCACGUGUCUACAGUAGUUAAACUUACAGAGUUGCAAAACAGAAUGGUGGCCCCCAGGGGUGGGCGAGAGAGAGUGGAAUGGAGUUUGGUUAAUGGGUGCAAUUUCCAUUUUCAAGGAUAAAACUGUUCUGGAGAUGAUGGCGGUGAUGGUUGCUAAACAAUGUGAAUGUACCUAAUGUGAUUAAACUGUAAACUGAAAACUAGUGGAAAUUGUAAAUGUUUAUACUGGCCAUUCUAUAUGAAAUAAUCUAUAUUUGUGAUUUUUAAUAUUUAUACGUGGUAUAUCUUCCCAUAAUAAAAG
This 6171-nucleotide long non-coding RNA is filed under the name Homo sapiens (human). Its description in RNAcentral is "novel transcript". Lineage: Eukaryota; Metazoa; Chordata; Mammalia; Primates; Hominidae. The record is from RNAcentral.